AUUGAACGCUGGCGGCAGGCCUAACACAUGCAAGUCGAGCGGAUGAAGGGAGCUUGCUCCUGGAUUCAGCGGCGGACGGGUGAGUAAUGCCUAGGAAUCUGCCUGGUAGUGGGGGAUAACGUCCGGAAACGGGCGCUAAUACCGCAUACGUCCUGAGGGAGAAAGUGGGGGAGCUUCGGACCUCACGCUAUCAGAGGAGCCUAGGUCGGAUUAGCUAGUUGGUGGGGUAAAGGCCUACCAAGGCGACGAUCCGUAACUGGUCUGAGAGGAUGAUCAGUCACACUGGAACUGAGACACGGUCCAGACUCCUACGGGAGGCAGCAGUGGGGAAUAUUGGGCAAUGGGCGAAAGCCUGAUCCAGCCAUGCCGCGUGUGUGAAGAAGGUCUUCGGAUUGUAAAGCACUUUAAGUUGGGAGGAAGGGCAGUAAGUUAAUACCUUGCUGUUUUGACGUUACCAACAGAAUAAGCACCGGCUAACUUCGUG
Molecule: ribosomal RNA, 484 nt
Filed under: uncultured bacterium
Lineage: Bacteria
Description: partial 16S ribosomal RNA
Rfam family: Bacterial small subunit ribosomal RNA
Source: RNAcentral